AAAACAUAUCUUCAGAUCAUCAGAUGCUCAGCAAAAUGAUCUAAUCAAGUUGACUAAAUCAAAGAAAUACUUCUGAAGAGGUUAGUCUUCUUCGAAAAAAGACUGUAUAGAGAACAGGUUGAAUAACGAAGUGAUCUCUGAACUGUUGGAUUUUGCAGACGCUCACUUGCUCAGCAGAGGAGUAUAGAGAGGAUCAGAACACCAACACGGAG
Molecule: non-coding RNA, 212 nt
Organism: Pelobates cultripes (western spadefoot toad)
Lineage: Eukaryota; Metazoa; Chordata; Amphibia; Anura; Pelobatidae
Source: the annotation of a GenBank genome assembly